Molecule: non-coding RNA, 82 nt
Organism: Podarcis lilfordi (Lilford's wall lizard)
Lineage: Eukaryota; Metazoa; Chordata; Lepidosauria; Squamata; Lacertidae
Source: the annotation of a GenBank genome assembly
UCAGUUGUACUUCUCAGUUGGUGAGAGCGUGGAGCUGAUAUCCCCCAGGUUGCAGGUUCGGUCCCUGUAGGGGACAGCUGCA